Non-coding RNA from Chrysemys picta bellii (western painted turtle), 378 nucleotides. The record is from RefSeq and is a predicted model, not a curated record. Lineage: Eukaryota; Metazoa; Chordata; Testudines; Emydidae.
UUAAGGAACUCGGAUGAGCUUCACUUGUCUUGUGUCACCUUCCCACUGAUGGACCAUUCUACACUUCACUCAACUUACCAAAAGAGGUUCUCUACCUGGAGAUUCUGAACUGUGGAUGGAUUGAUUCUGUGGGAUUGGACCAGACCAGGCACUACCUUUGAAGUCCUCUCCAACCAGUGCAAAGGAUUAUGGCCUGCCUAGGGGAGAGGGAAACCAAACGGUUUGCCUAUGAACAGCCCUGAAAUCAGAUGUCUAAUGGGUCAGCGAAUUGCUCUACUAACUUAGACCUUGGAGUAGCUGAGAAAGAGGCACUGUCAUAUAUCUCAGCGUGGAGAGCACAGGUGACCACGCAGAGCUCAUCAGCACAGUAACCAUGCA